RNAcentral lists this transfer RNA (73 nucleotides) under Phycomyces blakesleeanus. RNAcentral describes it as "tRNA-Gln". It matches the Rfam family "tRNA". Rfam says of the family: Transfer RNA (tRNA) molecules are approximately 80 nucleotides in length. Their secondary structure includes four short double-helical elements and three loops (D, anti-codon, and T loops). Further hydrogen bonds mediate the characteristic L-shaped molecular structure. tRNAs have two regions of fundamental functional importance: the anti-codon, which is responsible for specific mRNA codon recognition, and the 3' end, to which the tRNAs corresponding amino acid is attached (by aminoacyl-tRNA synthetases). tRNAs cope with the degeneracy of the genetic code in two manners: having more than one tRNA (with a specific anti-codon) for a particular amino acid; and 'wobble' base-pairing, i.e. permitting non-standard base-pairing at the 3rd anti-codon position. Lineage: Eukaryota; Fungi; Mucoromycota; Mucoromycetes; Mucorales; Phycomycetaceae. The record is from RNAcentral. RNAcentral also lists the same sequence under 3 other names.
UGGGCUGUUGACUAAUUGGUAAGUCAUCGACUUUUGAUGUCGACUAAUGGGAGUUCGAGCCUUCCCAGCCCAG